UCGGGAAUUUUGGGCAAUGGGGGAAACCCUGACCCAGCAACGCCGCGUGAAGGAUGAAGUAUUUCGGUAUGUAAACUUCGAAAGAAUAGGAAGAAUAAAUGACGGUACUAUUUAUAAGGUCCGGCUAACUACGUGCCAGCAGCCGCGGUAAUACGUAGGGACCAAGCGUUGUUCGGAUUUACUGGGCGUAAAGGGCGCGUAGGCGGCAUGACAAGUCACUUGUGAAAUCUCUGGGCUUAACCCAGAACGGCCAAGUGAUACUGUCGCGCUAGAGUGCAGAAGGGGCAAUCGGAAUUCUUGGUGUAGCGGUGAAAUGCGUAGAUAUCAAGAGGAACACCUGAGGUGAAGACGGGUUGCUGGGCUGACACUGACGCUGAGGCGCGAAAGCCAGGGGAGCAAACGGGAUUAGAUACCCACGUAGUCCCUGAGCGGGCUGG
RNAcentral lists this ribosomal RNA (437 nucleotides) under uncultured bacterium. Its description in RNAcentral is "bacterial SSU rRNA". It matches the Rfam family "Bacterial small subunit ribosomal RNA", at positions 355 to 812 of the family's 1533-position model. The record is from RNAcentral.